UGGUAGGGAAGGGAGGAUGGGAAGAGGAAGCUUCAUUGGAGGUCAUGGUCCUGGCUCUCGACUCCAAAGUCGCUUGGUGGCAUGGGUUUCUGUGAUAUGGCCAUAUUCAACCAAGCGAUGCUGGGUAAACAAGGGUGGAGACUUCUGACUGAACCUGGCUCCUUGUGUGCUAGAGUUCUGAAAGGUAGAUACUAUUCUAAUGGCAGCUUCUGGAAUGCUUCGGUGCCAUGAACGGCUUCAGCUACAUGGCGUGGUAUAAUCCAUGGUCGUGAUCUUCUGAAGAGGGGGGUGCGGUGGGGGAUUGGGGACGGGCGACAUACAAAUAUCCUCACUGAUCAUUGGAUCCCG
Molecule: ribosomal RNA, 348 nt
Filed under: Triticum aestivum (bread wheat)
Lineage: Eukaryota; Viridiplantae; Streptophyta; Magnoliopsida; Poales; Poaceae
Description: partial small subunit ribosomal RNA
Source: RNAcentral